This 1172-nucleotide ribosomal RNA is filed under the name uncultured Synechococcus sp. Its description in RNAcentral is "bacterial SSU rRNA". It matches the Rfam family "Bacterial small subunit ribosomal RNA", at positions 99 to 1313 of the family's 1533-position model. The record is from RNAcentral. Lineage: Bacteria; Bacillati; Cyanobacteriota; Cyanophyceae; Synechococcales; Synechococcaceae.
CGGACGGUGAGUUCGCGUGAGAAUCUGCCCUCAGGAGGGGGAUAACGGCUGGAAACGGCCGCUAAUACCCCAUAUGCCGAGAGGUGAAAUGAAUUUCGCCUGAGGAUGAGCUCGCGUCUGAUUAGCUAGUUGGUGGGGUAAAGGCCUACCAAGGCGACGAUCAGUAGCUGGUCUGAGAGGAUGAUCAGCCACACUGGGACUGAGACACGGCCCAGACUCCUACGGGAGGCAGCAGUGGGGAAUUUUCCGCAAUGGGCGAAAGCCUGACGGAGCAACGCCGCGUGAGGGAUGAAGGCCUCUGGGCUGUAAACCUCUUUUAUCAAGGAAGAAGAUCUGACGGUACUUGAUGAAUAAGCCACGGCUAAUUCCGUGCCAGCAGCCGCGGUAAUACGGGAGUGGCAAGCGUUAUCCGGAAUUAUUGGGCGUAAAGCGUCCGCAGGCGGUCUUGUAAGUCUGUCGUCAAAGCGUGGAGCUUAACUCCAUUUCUGCGAUGGAAACUGCAAGACUAGAGUGUGGUAGGGGCAGAGGGAAUUCCCGGUGUAGCGGUGAAAUGCGCAGAUAUCGGGAAGAACACCAGUGGCGAAGGCGCUCUGCUGGGCCAUAACUGACGCUCAUGGACGAAAGCCAGGGGAGCGAAAGGGAUUAGAUACCCCUGUAGUCCUGGCCGUAAACGAUGAACACUAGGUGUCGGGGGAAUCGACCCCCUCGGUGUCGUAGCCAACGCGUUAAGUGUUCCGCCUGGGGAGUACGCACGCAAGUGUGAAACUCAAAGGAAUUGACGGGGGCCCGCACAAGCGGUGGAGUAUGUGGUUUAAUUCGAUGCAACGCGAAGAACCUUACCAGGGUUUGACAUCCUGCGAAUCCCUUGGAAACGAGGGAGUGCCUUCGGGAGCGCAGAGACAGGUGGUGCAUGGCUGUCGUCAGCUCGUGUCGUGAGAUGUUGGGUUAAGUCCCGCAACGAGCGCAACCCACGUCGUUAGUUGCCAGCAUUCAGUUGGGCACUCUAGCGAGACCGCCGGUGAUAAACCGGAGGAAGGUGUGGAUGACGUCAAGUCAUCAUGCCCCUUACAUCCUGGGCUACACACGUACUACAAUGCUACGGACAAAGGGCAGCAAACUCGCGAGAGCUAGCAAUCCCAUAAACCGUGGCUCAGUUCAGAUCGUAGCUACAC